This 160-nucleotide ribosomal RNA is filed under the name Flammulina velutipes. RNAcentral describes it as "5.8S ribosomal RNA". The stretch from base 1 to 96 matches the Rfam family "5.8S ribosomal RNA", at positions 59 to 154 of the family's 154-position model. Rfam says of the family: 5.8S ribosomal RNA (5.8S rRNA) is a component of the large subunit of the eukaryotic ribosome. It is transcribed by RNA polymerase I as part of the 45S precursor that also contains 18S and 28S rRNA. The record is from RNAcentral. Lineage: Eukaryota; Fungi; Basidiomycota; Agaricomycetes; Agaricales; Physalacriaceae.
UAACUAAUGUGAAUUGCAGAAUUCAGUGAAUCAUCGAGUCUUUGAACGCACCUUGCGCCCUUUGGUACUCCGAAGGGCAUGCCUGUUUGAGUGUCAGUAACUUCUCAACCUCCCUCACUUUGUUGUGAGCUGGCGGAUUGGACGUGGGGGCUUGCUGGAC